Non-coding RNA from Prunus avium (sweet cherry), 423 nucleotides. The record is from RefSeq and is a predicted model, not a curated record. NCBI's taxonomy places the organism in Eukaryota, Viridiplantae, Streptophyta, Magnoliopsida, Rosales, Rosaceae.
ACGGAGCUCGCAGACGCAGUGACAGCCAUGUCGCUUCUCUAUCAACUCAAGCUUCGAUUUGUUUUCUUCGGUUUCAGCACCGAGAAAAGACCCAAACCGCCUAGGAGGCCCGCCCAGCCGCCUAGCACCCGCCUAGCCGCCUAGCCGCCCGCCUAGGCCGAUUUUUGGAACACUGCGAUUGACUGAAAGUCUGAAACCCGAAAUUGAAAAAGUUUAGCUGCAAAUUUGAGCUUGAGAUUGAGAAGCGGAAGCAGUGAAGCACAAGUCAGGUCCAUAGAAGAAGAGAUCAUGAGACUCUUAAUUCAUCUAAUUCCAUUCCUCUCCCUGUUUCCUGCCUUAUUCUCUUCUCAUGGAGUUUCUAUGGUCAUGCCAAUAACAAGAUCGCUGAACCACAGCAAGCACCCCCUUCCUCCAUCUCGGAUA